GUAAGGAAUAUUGGUCAAUGGGGGCAACCCUGAACCAGCCAUGCCGCGUGAAGGAUGAAGGCGUUAUGCGUUGUAAACUUCUUUUGUAUGGGAAGAAUGACAGGGAUUUAUCCUUGGAGAGACGGUACCAUACGAAUAAGCACCGGCUAACUCCGUGCCAGCAGCCGCGGUAAUACGGAGGGUGCAAGCGUUAUCCGGAAUCAUUGGGUUUAAAGGGUCCGCAGGCGGGCUAUCAAGUCAGAGGUGAAAUCCCACAGCUUAACUGUGGAACUGCCUUUGAAACUGAUGGUCUUGAAUUAAGUGGGCGUUGGCGGAAUAUGACAUGUAGCGGUGAAAUGCAUAGAUAUGUCAUGGAACACCGAAAGCGAAGGCAGCUAACGAUACUUAUAUUGACGCUCAUGGACGAAAGCGUGGGUAGCGAACAGGAUUAGAAACCCCGGUAGUCC
This 446-nucleotide ribosomal RNA is filed under the name uncultured bacterium. Its description in RNAcentral is "partial 16S ribosomal RNA". It matches the Rfam family "Bacterial small subunit ribosomal RNA", at positions 354 to 796 of the family's 1533-position model. The record is from RNAcentral.